Molecule: long non-coding RNA, 245 nt
Filed under: Vigna radiata
Lineage: Eukaryota; Viridiplantae; Streptophyta; Magnoliopsida; Fabales; Fabaceae
Description: long non-coding RNA (VRAD_LNC013932)
Source: RNAcentral
UGGAACAUUAUUUUGGGGAGCAGGGAAAUGUUGUUGACGGUAGAUGGCAUUGGUUGAAUGAAGGAGAAUUUUUUUUUCUCUUCUCUUUUUAUGGUGCAGCGUUGCAGGGAAUCAUUUUAUCACAUCUUCAUUCUUUUGUUUUUUUUUUUGAAUGUUAACGGUGACAACUUUGAUAGUUUUUGGAAGUGCAAUCUAAUUCAUUUUUAGCAGGCAUUUCGUUUCUGCAGCUAGGGAUGUGCUAGCCC